RNAcentral lists this small RNA (461 nucleotides) under Pongo abelii (Sumatran orangutan). RNAcentral's name for it is "sense intronic". The record is from RNAcentral. Lineage: Eukaryota; Metazoa; Chordata; Mammalia; Primates; Hominidae.
GCUUCGCGGAAGCCGCUGCUCUGGCUUUUUAAAAGGAUGGGGUCUAGAAGUUUCCUUUGCUACUCGCAAGUCUCCACUCCCCCCAGCCCCGCGAUGGAUAAUCCUGGACCUUUCAGCUCCCCCCCACCCCUUUCUUUUGCUCUCGCUGACUCUAAGAGGUUGAGUUGCAGGUUGGCUACAUUUUGUAUGUUUGGAAACGUACAAAGUGCUCUGAAUUUCAUGAAAUAUUUUGAGGCAAAGUUGGACCCGGAAUGUCCCCAAAUAUGGUAGAGCAAAUAGCACAUCUGCCAGAGAAAGAUCCUACACUUUAUAAAGAGAAGAAGCAGACAACUUCCUGGUGAAUUUAGGACUGCUUGAUGGUGUUGAAAUUGUAUUUGUUGAGUUAAUGAAACCAUUAGAGCCAUUCUUCCAGAUCUGGCCAGCUAAGUUAAAAAAAAAAACAAAAAAUAAAAGGAGACAAA